GGGGAGUGUGUGUGCAACUGGAACACUCCUCUGACGCAUCGUGGGUUCCGUUCCCCGACUCACUUCUCAUUGCCUGGAAAGCAUAGGAAAAUUUCAGUUCCUGCCCUUGAUAGGCAGUCCAGCAAAACUUACAUAUGACUUUGCUGCCUGAAAUUCUUUCUGGAACAGGGCAAGGUAUAAAUAAAUAAAUAACAACAUGGUGAAAUCCCAUCUCUACAAAAAAAAAAAAAUACAAAACUUAGCCCAGUGUGGUGGCGGGCGUCUGUGAUCCCAGCUACUCAGGAGGCUGAGGCAGAGAAUUGCUUCAACUCGGGAGACGGAGGUUGCAGUGAGCCAAGAUUGUGCCACUGCACUCCAGCCUGGGCAGUAGAGUAGGUUUUUUGGCCUUGGGAAGGUCCUUCACCCGCUCUGAACCUCAGUAUCCCCACCUGUAAAACAAAAGAACUGGACAUGUCACUGUAGUUUUCAAACUAUGCUUGAUAGCAGUUCCUUAGCGAAGAGCUUCCCAGCUGGUGUGCCUUGGCAUGAUGACCUCAUUAGCCCUCCCAGACAAGGCCUGUGGUGGGUGAGCCCCCAGGAGCGGUUCCAUUCACAUUUCCUCUCCUUACCUUUGCCUUAAAAAUGGCAUAAUUCAUCCGGGUGUGGUGGCUCAUGCCUGUAAUCCCAGAACUUCGGGAGGCCGAAGCUAGUGGAUCACAAGGUCAGGAGUUCGAGACCAGCCUGGCCAACAUGGUGAAACCCCCCCAUCUCUACUAAAAAUACAAAAAUUAGCCGGGCAUGGUGGAGCACAUCUGUAAUCCCAGCUACUCCGGAGGCUGAGGCAGGAGAAUUCGCUUGAACCCGGGAGGCAGAGGUUGCGGUGCGCCGAGAUCGCGCCACUGCACUCCAGCCUAGGCGACAGAGGAAGACUCUAUCUGAAAAAGAAAAGAGAAAAAAAAAAGGCAUCAUUUUCUAGGUACCGUGACAGGGAAUAGGUUGGGAAGCAAUGACUUCAGGACAGGGGGAUGUUGAGUGAAUGGGGCUCAGCCCUGUAGCCAGUCAACAUACAGAGGCUUAAAGCAAAUUUCCAAAAGGCAUCCCUUUUCCUUCAAGAUACUACCACCCUCUAUUGGACAACUGCCCUGUUAAUAACUGUACAAAUCUAUGAGUGUUACAGCUCUUUUAGAAUUUGUCUAGCAGGUUUUCCAAUCUUCACUGAAAAGCUUUAAAAAAUAAAGUAAAAUUAUGAUGGAGGUCAUGGUACCUCCCAGAGUUGUGCAGCUCAUGUUUUGCACAACCAUUUAGGGGUUCUAAUGGAGCUCUGGGAUC
RNAcentral lists this long non-coding RNA (1308 nucleotides) under Homo sapiens (human). RNAcentral's name for it is "non-protein coding lnc-GLE1-1:5". The stretch from base 1146 to 1207 matches the Rfam family "U7 small nuclear RNA". The record is from RNAcentral. Lineage: Eukaryota; Metazoa; Chordata; Mammalia; Primates; Hominidae.